RNAcentral lists this ribosomal RNA (426 nucleotides) under uncultured bacterium. RNAcentral's name for it is "bacterial SSU rRNA". It matches the Rfam family "Bacterial small subunit ribosomal RNA", at positions 354 to 796 of the family's 1533-position model. The record is from RNAcentral.
GUGAGGAAUUUUCCGCAAUGGGCGAAAGCCUGACGGAGCAAUGCCGCGUGAAGGAUGAAGGCCUAUGGGUUGUAAACUUCUUUUCUCAGAAAAGAAUUAUGACGGUAUCUGAGGAAUAAGCAUCGGCUAACUCUGUGCCAGCAGCCGCGGUAAGACAGAGGAUGCAAGCGUUAUCCGGAAUGAUUGGGCGUAACGCGUCUGUAGGUUGUUUAAAAAGUAUUCUGUCAAAGAUUAGGGCUUAACCCUAGAUAGGCAGAAUAAACUUUUAAGCUAGAGUUUGGUAGAGGCAGAGGGAAUUCCCGGUGGAGCGGUGAAAUGCGUAGAUAUCGGGAGGAACACCAAAGGCGAAGGCACUCUGCUGGGCCAAUACUAACACUGAGAGACGAAAGCGAGGGGAGCAAAUGGGAUUAGAUACCCCUGUAGUCC